This 422-nucleotide ribosomal RNA is filed under the name uncultured Chitinophagaceae bacterium. RNAcentral describes it as "bacterial SSU rRNA". It matches the Rfam family "Bacterial small subunit ribosomal RNA", at positions 355 to 774 of the family's 1533-position model. The record is from RNAcentral. Lineage: Bacteria; Pseudomonadati; Bacteroidota; Chitinophagia; Chitinophagales; Chitinophagaceae.
UAAGGAAUAUUGGUCAAUGGACGCAAGUCUGAACCAGCCAUGCCGCGUGGAGGAUUAAGGCCCUCUGGGUUGUAAACUCCUUUUAUCUGGGAAGAAAUGCAUUUUUUUUAAGAUGCUUGACGGUACCAGAGGAAUAAGCACCGGCUAACUCCGUGCCAGCAGCCGCGGUAAUACGGAGGGUGCAAGCGUUAUCCGGAUUCACUGGGUUUAAAGGGUGCGUAGGCGGGCAGGUAAGUCAGUGGUGAAAUCUCCGAGCUUAACUCGGAAACUGCCGUUGAUACUAUUUGUCUUGAAUACUGUGGAGGUAAGCGGAAUAUGUCAUGUAGCGGUGAAAUGCUUAGAUAUGACAUAGAACACCAAUUGCGAAGGCAGCUUACUACGCAGUGAUUGACGCUGAGGCACGAAAGCGUGGGGAGCAAACA